This 1127-nucleotide ribosomal RNA is filed under the name uncultured Alphaproteobacteria bacterium. RNAcentral describes it as "bacterial SSU rRNA". It matches the Rfam family "Bacterial small subunit ribosomal RNA", at positions 53 to 1235 of the family's 1533-position model. Lineage: Bacteria; Pseudomonadati; Pseudomonadota; Alphaproteobacteria. The record is from RNAcentral.
ACAUGCAAGUCGAACGAGAAACUUGGUUCGCCAAGUGGAAAGUGGCAGACGGUUGAGUAACGCGUGGGAAUCUACCUAGAGGUUCGGAAUAACUAUUGGAAACGAUAGCUAAUACCGGAUAAGCCCUUCGGGGGAAAGAUUUAUUGCCUUUAGAUGAGCCCGCGUCGGAUUAGCUAGUUGGUAAGGUAACGGCUUACCAAAGCUACGAUCCGUAGCUGAUCUGAGAGGAUGAUCAGCCAGAUUGGGACUGAGACACGGCCCAGACUCCUACGGGAGGCAGCAGUAGGGAAUAUUGCGCAAUGGGGGAAACCCUGACGCAGCGAUGCCGCGUGAGUGAAGAAGGCCUUAGGGUUGUAAAACUCUUUCAGUGGUGAAGAUAAUGACGGUAACCACAGAAGAAGCUCCGGCUAACUCCGUGCCAGCAGCCGCGGUAAUACGGAGGGGGCUAACGUUGUUCGGAAUUACUGGGCGUAAAGGGCGUGCAGGCGGAUUGGCAAGCCGGAGGUGAAAGCCCGGGGCUCAACCCCGGAGGGUCUUUCGGAACUGCCAGUCUUGAGAGGGUCAGGGGCCAGCGGAAUUCCUGGUGUAGAGGUGAAAUUCGUAGAGAUCAGGAGGAACACCGGCGGCGAAAGCGGCUGGCUGGGGCCACUCUGACGCUGAGGCGCGAAAGCGUGGGGGAGCAAACAGGAUUAGAUACCCUGGUAGUCCACGCCGUAAACGAUGGGGCACUAAGCGUCCGACGGGUUCGACCCCGUUGGGUGCUGCAGUUAACGCGUUAAGUGCCCCGCCUGGGGAGUACGGUCGCAAGACUAAAACUCAAAGGAAUUGACGGGGGCCCGCACAAGCGGUGGAACAUGUGAUUAAUUCGACGCAACGCGAAGAGCUUACCUGGGUUUGACAUCUCGGCCGACAUCAGAGAUGGUGUUUUCUCUUCGGAGACCGGGUGACAGGUGCUGCAUGCUGUCGUCAGCUCGUGUCGUGAGAUGCUGGAUAGUUCCGCACGAGCGCACCCUUGCCCUCAGUUGCAGCAGUUCGCUGACACUCUGGGGGGACUGCGGUGACAGCUGAGAGUGGGAUGACGUCAGUCCUCAUGCUUUAUAUCAAGGCUACACACGUGUCAAAUGGAC